UGGGAGGCAGCAGUGGGGAAUCUUGCGCAAUGGGCGAAAGCCUGANGCAGCAACGCCGCGUGCGGGAUGAAGGCCUUCGGGCUGUAAACCGCUUUCAGCAGGAACGAAAAUGACGGUACCUGCAGAAGAAGGAGCGGCCAACUACGUGCCAGCAGCCGCGGUGACACGUAGGCUCCAAGCGUUGUCCGGAUUUAUUGGGCGUAAAGAGCUCGUAGGCGGUUGAGUAAGUCGGGUGUGAAAACUCUGGGCUUAACCCGGAGACGCCAUCCGAUACUGCUCUGACUAGAGUUCAGGAGGGGAGUGGGGAAUUCCUAGUGUAGCGGUGAAAUGCGCAGAUAUUAGGAGGAACACCGGUGGCGAAGGCGCCACUCUGGACUGAAACUGACGCUGAGGAGCGAAAGCAUGGGUAGCAAA
This 414-nucleotide ribosomal RNA is filed under the name actinobacterium SCGC AAA487-C18. RNAcentral describes it as "bacterial SSU rRNA". It matches the Rfam family "Bacterial small subunit ribosomal RNA", at positions 342 to 772 of the family's 1533-position model. Lineage: Bacteria; Bacillati; Actinomycetota; Actinomycetes. The record is from RNAcentral.